UACGGGGGGGGCAAGCGUUGUUCGGAAUUACUGGGCGUAAAGGGCUCGUAGGCGGCCAACUAAGUCGGACGUGAAAUCCCCAGGCUCAACCUGGGAACUGCGUCCGAUACUGGAUGGCUUGAAUCCGGGAGAGGGAUGCAGAAUUCCAGGUGUAGCGGUGAAAUGCGUAGAUAUCUGGAGGAAUACCGGUGGCGAAGGCGGCAUCCUGGACCGGCAUUGACGCUGAAGAGCGAAAGCCAGGGGAGCAAACAGG
RNAcentral lists this ribosomal RNA (253 nucleotides) under uncultured bacterium. RNAcentral's name for it is "partial 16S ribosomal RNA". It matches the Rfam family "Bacterial small subunit ribosomal RNA", at positions 524 to 776 of the family's 1533-position model. The record is from RNAcentral.